AAUAAACGCUGGCGGCGUGCCUAACACAUGCAAGUCGAGCGAGAAAGCUCCUUCGGGAGUUAGUAAAGCGGCGAACGGGUGAGCAACACGUGAGAAUCUACCCUUUAGUGAAGAAUACCCUCGAGAAAUCGAGGCUAAUACUGCAUACGUCCCUUCGGGGAGAAAGAUGGCCUCUUUGCUAUCGCUAAAGGAUGAGCUUGCGUACUAUUAGCUAGUUGGCGGGGUAAAGGCCCACCAAGGCAAUGAUGGUUAACCGGCCUGAGAGGGUGUACGGUCACACUGGAACUUAGACACGGUCCAGACUCCUACGGGAGGCAGCAGUGAGGAAUAUUGGACAAUGGGCGGGAGCCUGAUCCAGCCAUGCCGCGUGAAGGACGAAGGCGCUCAGCGUUGUAAACUUCUUUUGGUACGGGGAACAAUAACCUCGACUUGUCGAGGCUUGAGGGUACCGUCAGAAUAAGCACCGGCUAACUCCGUG
RNAcentral lists this ribosomal RNA (478 nucleotides) under uncultured bacterium. RNAcentral's name for it is "bacterial SSU rRNA". It matches the Rfam family "Bacterial small subunit ribosomal RNA", at positions 29 to 507 of the family's 1533-position model. The record is from RNAcentral.